CACAACGGUCUUGGUCUGGAUGCUGGGGUGGGUUCGGGCGAUGCUUUCGGAGACGGAUUGUAAGUUGGCGGCGUCGAGGUCAAGGAGGACGAGGCUGAUGCCCCGGCUCGCGAGCUCCAUGGCCGUGGCUUUCCCGAGCCCCGUGGUUGGGCCGGUGAUCACCGCCCAUGUGCCGUAGCGGCGGCGGAGGUCGAUGGGUCGGCGGAGGCAGAGGGCGAGGUGAGCGAGGAGGGGGAUGCAGGCGGCCGAUAAGUACAGCGCGCCGAGAGCGGCCAGGGAGAUGAACCAGACCGGAACUGCCGCAGGCAUGUUGCAGCUAGCUAGGUCCGGAAUCCUGAGUUGAUUUGUUGCUGUACUGUGUGUACGUUUGCACUGCUUGUUCCUGGCUAUAUAUACAUGCAGAAAUAUAGGCCGGGCCAGCCCGUUGAGGCCAGAAUUGAAAAGUAGCGUGUAUUGGUAGGGCAUCUGAGGACCCUUAAAACUCGCUUCCCCCGUAAAAUUCCGGCGGGAUAGGGGGUGAGCGCAGUUUGAGCCGUCUAGCAGGCCUCGUAGUCGGGCCGGCCCGUAUUGGCGCAAUACGGGGUCCAGCAAAACCACACCGCCGCCCCCUACAAAUACAGGGCGAAGGUGCGAGUGGGGGUCAAACCCCUCACUCGCAACCCUAGCUCCGCCGUGCACCGCCGCCUCCCCGCUAUGCUUCGGCGAGCAAUUCGCACGCUCACGCCGCCGCAUUACCCCCGCCGCUCGCCAUGUCCGCGCGCCGCAGCAAUUCCGCGUCGCUCGCGAGCGGAUCGAAGCGAUCCCGCUCGCCGGACACGCUCGAGGAGGCGUGGCGGCACCAGUGCAAGCUAUCCGCCGCCGGGAGUUAAUUCAAGGAGUGCCCCCACUCACUUGAUUUUUCCCCACUCAUAUAUUUUGAACUGAAAUUUCUUCAGAUUUUGCAAGUUAAUACAAGGAGUGCCCCCACUCACUUGAUUUUUCCCCACUCAUAUAUUUUGUUGGGUCCACCAUUGGAAGAAGUGUUAGCUGCGUAGAAGCUGUGACCACCGUACAUCGCGGCCUUGCAAGCCUCCAACCAUUGCUCUGUGCUCAAAGGCUGCGCAAAUAAAUCACGAGUAAGCAUCGGUGUAGUCCGAUUGAAGAUUAGCUCAACAAGAGCACCGGAGUCAUCUCGAGGUUCACCAAGAGGUAGGAGAUGAACCCCUCCAGGCGCAAGUGAG
Molecule: non-coding RNA, 1220 nt
Organism: Lolium perenne
Lineage: Eukaryota; Viridiplantae; Streptophyta; Magnoliopsida; Poales; Poaceae
Source: RefSeq, a predicted model, not a curated record